RNAcentral lists this ribosomal RNA (453 nucleotides) under uncultured Paraprevotella sp. RNAcentral's name for it is "partial 16S ribosomal RNA". It matches the Rfam family "Bacterial small subunit ribosomal RNA", at positions 341 to 792 of the family's 1533-position model. Lineage: Bacteria; Pseudomonadati; Bacteroidota; Bacteroidia; Bacteroidales; Prevotellaceae. The record is from RNAcentral.
ACGGGAGGCAGCAGUGAGGAAUAUUGGUCAAUGGGCGAGAGCCUGAACCAGCCAAGUAGCGUGAGGGAUGACUGCCCUAUGGGUUGUAAACCUCUUUUGUUCGGGAAUAAAGUGCGGGACGUGUCCCGCUUUGCAUGUACCGUUCGAAUAAGCAUCGGCUAAUUCCGUGCCAGCAGCCGCGGUAAUACGGAAGAUGCGAGCGUUAUCCGGAUUUAUUGGGUUUAAAGGGAGCGUAGGCGGCCUUUUAAGUCAGUGGUCAAAUGUCAGUGCCCAACACUGGCCUGCCAUUGAUACUGGAGGGCUUGAAUACACACAAGGAAGGUGGAAUUCGUCGUGUAGCGGUGAAAUGCAUAGAUAUGGCGAAGAACUCCGAUUGCGUAGGCAGCUGACCAAGCCGUAAAUGACGCUCAUGCACGAAAGUGCGGGGAUCGAACAGGAUUAGAUACCCUGGUA